Molecule: ribosomal RNA, 600 nt
Filed under: uncultured Alphaproteobacteria bacterium
Lineage: Bacteria; Pseudomonadati; Pseudomonadota; Alphaproteobacteria
Description: bacterial SSU rRNA
Rfam family: Bacterial small subunit ribosomal RNA
Source: RNAcentral
CAUGCAAGUCGAACGAAGUAGCAAUACUUAGUGGCAGACGGGUGAGUAACAUGUAGGUAUCUGCCCUUUGGCCUGGAAUAACACGAGGAAACUUGUGCUAAUACCGGAUAAGUCUUUACGGAGAAAGCUUUAUGCACCAUUGGAUGAGCCUGCACUUGAUUAGUUUGUUGGUGGGGUAAUGGCCUACCAAGACUGUGAUCAAUAGCUGAUUUGAGAGGAUGAUCAGCCACAUUGGGACUGAGACACGGCCCAAACUCCUACGGGAGGCAGCAGUGGGGAAUCUUGCACAAUGGAGGAAACUCUGAUGCAGCGAUGCCGCGUGAGUGAAGAAGGCCUUUGGGUUGUAAAGCUCUUUCGUCGGGGAAGAAAAUGACUGUACCCGAAUAAGAAGGUCCGGCUAACUUCGUGCCAGCAGCCGCGGUAAUACGAAGGGACCUAGCGUAGUUCGGAAUUACUGGGCUUAAAGAGUUCGUAGGUGGUUGAAAAAGUUGGUGGUGAAAUCUCAGAGCUUAACUCUGGAACUGCCAUCAAAACUUUUCAGCUAGAGUAUGAUAGAGGAAAGCAGAAUUUCUAGUGUAGAGGUGAAAUUCGUAGAUAUUA